Molecule: unclassified non-coding RNA, 510 nt
Filed under: uncultured Glomus
Lineage: Eukaryota; Fungi; Glomeromycota; Glomeromycetes; Glomerales; Glomeraceae
Description: SSU rRNA
Rfam family: Eukaryotic small subunit ribosomal RNA
Source: RNAcentral
AGCAGCCGCGGUAAUUCCAGCUCCAAUAGCGUAUAUUAAAGUUGUUGCAGUUAAAAAGCUCGUAGUUGAAUUUCGGGGUUAGCAGGUCGGUCGUGCCAUCGGUAUGAACUGGUCUCGCUGAUCCCUCCCUCUUGACGAACUGUGAUGCCAUUAAUUUGGUGUCGCAGGGAAUCAGGACUGUUACUUUGAAAAAUUAGAGUGUUUAAAGCAGGCUCACGCUUGAAUACAUUAGCAUGGAAUAAUGAAAUAGGACGUUUGAUCCUAUUUUGUUGGUUUCUAGGAUUGACGUAAUGAUUAAUAGGGAUAGUUGGGGGCAUUAGUAUUCAAUUGUCAGAGGUGAAAUUCUUGGAUUUAUUGAAGACUAACUACUGCGAAAGCAUUUGCCAAGGAUGUUUUCAUUAAUCAAGAACGAAAGUUAGGGGAUCGAAGACGAUCAGAUACCGUCGUAGUCUUAACCAUAAACUAUGCCGACUAGGGAUCGGAUGAUGUUAAUUUUUAAUGUACUCAUUC